UUGGAGGGCAAGUCUGGUGCCAGCAGCCGCGGUAAUUCCAGCUCCAAUAGCGUAUAUUAAAGUUGUUGCAGUUAAAAAGCUCGUAGUUGAAUUUCGGGGUUAGUAGGUUGGUCAUGCCUCUGGUAUGUACUGGUCUCACUGAUUCCUCCUUCCUGAUGAACCGCAAUGCCAUUAAUUUGGUGUUGCGGGGAAUUUGGACUGUUACUUUGAAAAAAUUAGAGUGUUUAAAGCAAGCUAACGCUUGAAUACAUUAGCAUGGAAUAAUGAAAUAGGACGUUCGAUCCUAUUUUGUUGGUUUCUAGGAUUGACGUAAUGAUUAAUAGGGAUAGUUGGGGGCAUUAGUAUUCAAUUGUCAGAGGUGAAAUUCUUGGAUUUAUUGAAGACUAACUACUGCGAAAGCAUUUGCCAAGGAUGUUUUCAUUAAUCAAGAACGAAAGUUAGGGGAUCGAAGACGAUCAGAUACCGUCGUAGUCUUAACCAUAAACUAUGCCGACUAGGGAUCGGAUGAUGUUAAUUUUUUAAUGACUCAUUCGGCGCCUUACGGGAAACCAAAGUGUUUGGGUUC
RNAcentral lists this ribosomal RNA (565 nucleotides) under uncultured Rhizophagus. RNAcentral describes it as "SSU rRNA". It matches the Rfam family "Eukaryotic small subunit ribosomal RNA", at positions 548 to 1114 of the family's 1831-position model. Lineage: Eukaryota; Fungi; Glomeromycota; Glomeromycetes; Glomerales; Glomeraceae. The record is from RNAcentral.